Molecule: ribosomal RNA, 447 nt
Filed under: uncultured bacterium
Lineage: Bacteria
Description: partial 16S ribosomal RNA
Rfam family: Bacterial small subunit ribosomal RNA
Source: RNAcentral
AACGAACGCUGGUGGCAGGCUUAACACAUGCAAGUCGAGCGCCCCGCAAGGGGAGCGGCAGACGGGUGAGUAACGCGUGGGAAUCUACCCAGCUCUACGGAAUAACUCAGGGAAACUUGUGCUAAUACCGUAUACGUCCUCCGGGAGAAAGAUUUAUCGGAGCUGGAUGAGCCCGCGUUGGAUUAGCUAGUUGGUGGGGUAAUGGCCCACCAAGGCGACGAUCCAUAGCUGGUCUGAGAGGAUGAUCAGCCACAUUGGGACUGAGACACGGCCCAAACCCCUACGGGGGGCAGCAGGGGGGAUUAUUGACCAAGGGGGGAAAGCCUGACCCAGCCAGGCGGGGUGGGUGAGGAAGGCCCUAGGGUGGAAAAGCUCUUUCCCCGGUGAAGAUAAUGCCGGUGCCGGAAAAAGAAGCCCCGGCUAACUUCGUGCCAGCAGCCGCCGUAA